UACAGAGGUCUCAAGCGUUGUUCGGAUUCAUUGGGCGUAAAGGGUGCGUAGGCGGGUCUUUAAGGCAGGGGUGAAAUCCUGGAGCUCAACUCCAGAACUGCCUUUGAUACUGAAGAUCUUGAGUUCGGGAGAGGUGAGUGGAACUGCGAGUGUAGAGGUGAAAUUCGUAGAUAUUCGCAAGAACACCAGUGGCGAAGGCGGCUCACUGGCCCGAUACUGACGCUGAGGCACGAAAGCGUGGGGAGCGAACAGG
RNAcentral lists this ribosomal RNA (253 nucleotides) under uncultured bacterium. RNAcentral's name for it is "partial 16S ribosomal RNA". It matches the Rfam family "Bacterial small subunit ribosomal RNA", at positions 524 to 776 of the family's 1533-position model. The record is from RNAcentral.